Molecule: ribosomal RNA, 515 nt
Filed under: uncultured archaeon
Lineage: Archaea
Description: bacterial SSU rRNA
Rfam family: Archaeal small subunit ribosomal RNA
Source: RNAcentral
AACCUUUACACUGCACGACAGUGCGAUAGAGGGACUCCGAGUGCGAGGGCAUAGAGCCCUCGCUUUUGUACACCGUAAGGUGGUGUACGAAUAAGAACUGGGCAAGACCGGUGCCAGCCGCCGCGGUAAUACCGGCAGUUCGAGUGAUGGCCGAUUUUAUUGGGCCUAAAGCGUUCGUAGCUGGCCGAUCAAGUCUGUCGGGAAAUCUGCUCGCCUAACGAGCAGGCGUCCGGCGGAAACUGAUCGGCUUGGGACCGGAAGACUCGAGGGGUACGUCCGGGGUAGGAGUGAAAUCCUGUAAUCCUGGACGGACCACCGAUGGCGAAAGCACCUCGAGAGCACGGAUCCGACAGUGAGGAACGAAAGCUGGGGUCUCGAACCGGAUUAGAUACCCGGGUAGUCCCAGCUGUCAACGAUGCCCGCUAGGUAUGGCGCAGGCUACGAGCCUGCGCUGUGCCGUAGGGAAGCCGUGAAGCGAGCCGCCUGGGAAGUACGUCUGCAAGGAUGAAACUUAA